CAGCCGCCGCGGGAAUACGUAAGUGGCAAGCGUUGUCCGGAAUUAUUGGGCGUAAAGCGCGCGCAGGUGGUUUAAUAAGUCUGAUGUGAAAGCCCACGGCUCAACCGUGGAGGGUCAUUGGAAACUGUUAAACUUGAGUGCAGGAGAGAAAAGUGGAAUUCCUAGUGUAGCGGUGAAAUGCGUAGAGAUUAGGAGGAACACCAGUGGCGAAGGCGGCUUUUGGCCUGUAACUGACACUGAGGCGCGAAAGCGUGAGGAGCAAACAGGAUUAGAUACCCGCGUAGUCCCUGUCUCUUAUACA
Molecule: ribosomal RNA, 301 nt
Filed under: uncultured bacterium
Lineage: Bacteria
Description: partial 16S ribosomal RNA
Rfam family: Bacterial small subunit ribosomal RNA
Source: RNAcentral